Molecule: ribosomal RNA, 770 nt
Filed under: Uramya sp. T290
Lineage: Eukaryota; Metazoa; Arthropoda; Insecta; Diptera; Tachinidae
Description: SSU rRNA
Rfam family: Eukaryotic small subunit ribosomal RNA
Source: RNAcentral
CCCUGUAAUUGGAAUGAGUACACUUUAAAUCCUUUAACAAGGACCUAUUGGAGGGCAAGUCUGGUGCCAGCAGCCGCGGUAACUCCAGCUCCAAUAGCGUAUAUUAAAGUUGUUGCGGUUAAAACGUUCGUAGUUGAACUUGUGCUUCAUACGGGUAGCACAACUAUAAUUGUAGUCUGUGCUGUACCUUAUGUAUGUAAGCGUAUUACCGGUGGAGUUCUUAUAUGUGCUAAAUACUUGUAUUUUGUUGCAUAUUCCUCCUAUUUAAACCUGCUUCAGUGCUCUUCAUCGAGUGUUGUUGUGGGCCGGUACAAUUACUUUGAACAAAUUAGAGUGCUUAAAGCAGGCUCCAAAUGCCUGAAUAUUUUGUGCAUGGAAUAAUGAAAUAAGACCUCUGUUCUACUUUCAUUGGUUUUUAGAACAAGAGGUAAUGAUUAAUAGAAGCAGUUUGGGGGCAUUAGUAUUACGACGCGAGAGGUGAAAUUCUUGGACCGUCGUAAGACUAACUUAAGCGAAAGCAUUUGCCAAAGAUGUUUUCAUUAAUCAAGAACGAAAGUUAGAGGUUCGAAGGCGAUCAGAUACCGCCCUAGUUCUAACCAUAAACGAUGCCAGCUAGCAAUUGGGUGUAGCUACUAUCAUGGCUCUCUCAGUCGCUUCCCGGGAAACCAAAGCUUUUGGGCUCCGGGGGAAGUAUGGUUGCAAAGCUGAAACUUAAAGGAAUUGACGGAAGGGCACCACCAGGAGUGGAGCCUGCGGCUUAAUUUGACUCA